RNAcentral lists this long non-coding RNA (416 nucleotides) under Danio rerio (zebrafish). RNAcentral describes it as "si:dkey-56m19.4 (ENSDARG00000101219.3)". The record is from RNAcentral. Lineage: Eukaryota; Metazoa; Chordata; Actinopteri; Cypriniformes; Danionidae.
ACAGUUUCUGGAUGCAGAAUGUAAUGUUGCUGCGAGUCUCCGCCCUCCAAACUACAUUCCUGCGAGGAAAAGACGCUUUCAUCUGGAGUCCCGACGACUGAUGUCAGAGAAACAAAAGCACAAAACUGGCAUUCCUCUUCAGCUUCGAGUUCUCCUCUCUGAGUUCUGCAGAGCCUUGUACACCCGUUCCUGUUCCUGCUCCUGCUCCUGCCCCUGGAGUCCCAGGACUGCCCGGAACACCUGUCUUUUUACUCAGCAGACUGUUGAAGAAGUUGGCCAGCACUCCCUCAUUUGCAGCAGCUCCUAUAAACACAAACAAAUCAAAUGUAAUGACAUCAAGUGGCAAUGGAGAGGCCCAAACUAAUAUACAGGACAUAUUAACACCAUUUUAACAAUAAAGGGCUGUUGAUUUAGCA